Molecule: transfer RNA, 74 nt
Filed under: Nippostrongylus brasiliensis
Lineage: Eukaryota; Metazoa; Nematoda; Chromadorea; Rhabditida; Heligmosomidae
Rfam family: tRNA
About the family: Transfer RNA (tRNA) molecules are approximately 80 nucleotides in length.
Source: Rfam by way of RNAcentral
GUCUCAGUGGUGAAGUGGUUGGAGCACAAGCCCAAGUUAAGCGCGAGACGCGGGAUCGAAUCUCGCCUGAGAUG